GCACAAUGGGCGCAAGCCUGAUGCAGCCAUGCCGCGUGUAUGAAGAAGGUCCUUCGGGUUGUAAAGUACUUUCAGCAGUGAGGAAGGCGGAGUUCGUUAAUAGCGGCCUCGUUUGACGUUUAGCUGCAGAAGAAGCACCGGCUAACUCCGUGCCAGCAGCCGCGGUAAUACGGAGGGUGCGAGCGUUAAUCGGAAUUACUGGGCGUAAAGCGCAUGCAGGUGGUUUGUUAAGUCAGGAUGUGAAAGCCCGGGGCUCAACCUCGGAAUUGCAUUUGAAACUGGCAGACUAGAGUACUGUAGAGGGGGUAGAAUUUCAGGUGUAGCGGUGAAAAUGCGUAGAGAUCUGAAGGAAUACCGGUGGCGAAGGCGGCCCCCUGGACAGAUACUGACACUCAGAUGCGAAAGCGUGGGGAGCAAACAGGAUUAGAUACCCUGGUAG
This 439-nucleotide ribosomal RNA is filed under the name uncultured bacterium. RNAcentral describes it as "bacterial SSU rRNA". It matches the Rfam family "Bacterial small subunit ribosomal RNA", at positions 366 to 793 of the family's 1533-position model. The record is from RNAcentral.